GACAGAGGUGCCGAGCGUUAGGCGGAAUCACUGGGCUUAAAGCGCGUGUAGGCGGCCAUCUAAGUCGGGCGUGAAAAUCCCACGGCUCAACCGUGGAAGUGCACUCGAAACUGGAUGGCUAGAGUCCUGGAGAGGAAGGUGGAAUGCUUGGUGUAGAGGUGAAAUUCGUAGAUAUCAAGCGGAACACCGGUGGCGAAGGCGGCCUUCUGGACAGUGACUGACGCUGAGACGCGAAAGCGUGGGGGGGCAAACAGGG
RNAcentral lists this ribosomal RNA (256 nucleotides) under uncultured bacterium. RNAcentral's name for it is "partial 16S ribosomal RNA". It matches the Rfam family "Bacterial small subunit ribosomal RNA", at positions 524 to 777 of the family's 1533-position model. The record is from RNAcentral.